This 73-nucleotide transfer RNA is filed under the name Blattella germanica (German cockroach). RNAcentral's name for it is "tRNA-Tyr (GTA) (tRNA-Tyr-GTA-4-1)". It matches the Rfam family "tRNA". From Rfam's summary of the family: Transfer RNA (tRNA) molecules are approximately 80 nucleotides in length. Their secondary structure includes four short double-helical elements and three loops (D, anti-codon, and T loops). Further hydrogen bonds mediate the characteristic L-shaped molecular structure. tRNAs have two regions of fundamental functional importance: the anti-codon, which is responsible for specific mRNA codon recognition, and the 3' end, to which the tRNAs corresponding amino acid is attached (by aminoacyl-tRNA synthetases). tRNAs cope with the degeneracy of the genetic code in two manners: having more than one tRNA (with a specific anti-codon) for a particular amino acid; and 'wobble' base-pairing, i.e. permitting non-standard base-pairing at the 3rd anti-codon position. Lineage: Eukaryota; Metazoa; Arthropoda; Insecta; Blattodea; Blattellidae. The record is from RNAcentral.
CCUUUGGUAGCUCAGUUGGUAGAGCGGUGGACUGUAGAUCCAUUGGUCGUUGGUUCAAAUCCGGCCCGGAGGA